Molecule: ribosomal RNA, 497 nt
Filed under: uncultured bacterium
Lineage: Bacteria
Description: partial 16S ribosomal RNA
Rfam family: Bacterial small subunit ribosomal RNA
Source: RNAcentral
GAUGAACGCUGGCGGCGUGCCUAAUACAUGCAAGUCGAGCGAACAGAUGAGGAGCUUGCUCCUCUGACGUUAGCGGCGGACGGGUGAGUAACACGUGGAUAACCUACCUAUAAGACUGGGAUAACUUCGGGAAACCGGAGCUAAUACCGGAUAAUAUAUUGAACCGCAUGGUUCAAUAGUGAAAGACGGUUUUGCUGUCACUUAUAGAUGGAUCCGCGCCGCAUUAGCUAGUUGGUAAGGUAACGGCUUACCAAGGCAACGAUGCGUAGCCGACCUGAGAGGGUGAUCGGCCACACUGGAACUGAGACACGGUCCAGACUCCUACGGGAGGCAGCAGUAGGAAAUCUUCCGCAAUGGGCGAAAGCUUGACGGAGCAACGCCGCGUGAGUGAUGAAGGUCUUCGGAUCGUAAAACUCUGUUAUUAGGGAAGAACAAAUGUGUAAGUAACUAUGCACGUCUUGACGGUACCUAAUCAGAAAGCCACGGCUAACUACGUG